ACUGUCUGGAAAUCAUCUCUGGCCUCUUUCAGUGGCCGUGGUCGAUAUAACGGUGCCCACAGCAAAGGGAACAUUAAGUUUAAUUGCCCUUAAGCAACACAUGGGGGCAAUAAAACCCAUGCACCUAUAUUA
Small nucleolar RNA from Elgaria multicarinata webbii, 132 nucleotides. RefSeq annotates it as small nucleolar RNA ACA64. The transcript has a single exon. The record is from RefSeq and is a predicted model, not a curated record. NCBI's taxonomy places the organism in Eukaryota, Metazoa, Chordata, Lepidosauria, Squamata, Anguidae.